GGCAAAUGAUGUUUGUCAUCACGAUGGUCUUCGGAUGCCUAAGGGUACUGCCGACAAAGCCACAAGGCUCAGCUGAUGCCAGAAG
This is a small nucleolar RNA of Gracilinanus agilis (Agile Gracile Mouse Opossum), 85 nucleotides long. RefSeq annotates it as small nucleolar RNA SNORD35. The transcript has a single exon. Lineage: Eukaryota; Metazoa; Chordata; Mammalia; Didelphimorphia; Didelphidae. The record is from RefSeq and is a predicted model, not a curated record.